AUAUGGUAAAGUAUUAAACCAUAAGGGGGUUAUAUGGUAAAAUAUAAAAAUCAUAGGGGGUUAAUGUGUCAUGUAUUUAUAAGGGUAAUUUCGACAUUUUUAGAAAUUCCGUUACGAGUGACUAUUUCCGUUACUUUGACACUUUAAUCCAAACCAUGAGGGGGUUAUGUAUAGCUUUUGAAACCAUAGGGGGUUAUGUAAAAAA
This 205-nucleotide long non-coding RNA is filed under the name Coffea arabica (coffee). Its description in RNAcentral is "long non-coding RNA (CARA_LNC005156)". The record is from RNAcentral. Lineage: Eukaryota; Viridiplantae; Streptophyta; Magnoliopsida; Gentianales; Rubiaceae.